GAUGAACGCUGGCGGCGUGCCUAAUACAUGCAAGUCGAGCGAACGGACGAGAAGCUUGCUUCUCUGCUGUUAGCGGCGGACGGGUGAGUAACACGUGGAUAACCUACCUAUAAGACUGGGAUAACUUCGGGAAACCGGAGCUAAUACCGGAUAAUAUUAUGAACCGCAUGGUUCAAAAGUGAAAGACGGUCUUGCUGUCACUUAUAGAUGGAUCCGCGCUGCAUUAGCUAGUUGGUAAGGUAACGGCUUACCAAGGCAACGAUGCAUAGCCGACCUGAGAGGGUGAUCGGCCACACUGGAACUGAGACACGGUCCAGACUCCUACGGGAGGCAGCAGUAGGGAAUCUUCCGCAAUGGGCGAAAGCCUGACGGAGCAACGCCGCGUGAGUGAUGAAGGUCUUCGGAUCGUAAAACUCUGUUAUUAGGGAAGAACAUAUGUGUAAGUAACUGUGCACAUCUUGACGGUACCUAAUCAGAAAGCCACGGCUAACUACGUG
Molecule: ribosomal RNA, 497 nt
Filed under: uncultured bacterium
Lineage: Bacteria
Description: partial 16S ribosomal RNA
Rfam family: Bacterial small subunit ribosomal RNA
Source: RNAcentral